GAGGGUGUAGCUCAGCGGUAGAGUGCUUGCUUAGCAUGCACAAGGUCCUGGGUUCAAUUCCCAGUACCUCCC
This 72-nucleotide transfer RNA is filed under the name Camelus bactrianus (Bactrian camel). It matches the Rfam family "tRNA". Rfam says of the family: Transfer RNA (tRNA) molecules are approximately 80 nucleotides in length. Their secondary structure includes four short double-helical elements and three loops (D, anti-codon, and T loops). The record is from Rfam by way of RNAcentral. RNAcentral also lists the same sequence under 2 other names. Lineage: Eukaryota; Metazoa; Chordata; Mammalia; Artiodactyla; Camelidae.